Molecule: ribosomal RNA, 1305 nt
Filed under: Staphylococcus aureus
Lineage: Bacteria; Bacillati; Bacillota; Bacilli; Caryophanales; Staphylococcaceae
Description: bacterial SSU rRNA
Rfam family: Bacterial small subunit ribosomal RNA
Source: RNAcentral
UUUAUGGAGAGUUUGAUCCUGGCUCAGGAUGAACGCUGGCGGCGUGCCUAAUACAUGCAAGUCGAGCGAACGGACGAGAAGCUUGCUUCUCUGAUGUUAGCGGCGGACGGGUGAGUAACACGUGGAUAACCUACCUAUAAGACUGGGAUAACUUCGGGAAACCGGAGCUAAUACCGGAUAAUAUUUUGAACCGCAUGGUUCAAAAGUGAAAGACGGUCUUGCUGUCACUUAUAGAUGGAUCCGCGCUGCAUUAGCUAGUUGGUAAGGUAACGGCUUACCAAGGCAACGAUGCAUAGCCGACCUGAGAGGGUGAUCGGCCACACUGGAACUGAGACACGGUCCAGACUCCUACGGGAGGCAGCAGUAGGGAAUCUUCCGCAAUGGGCGAAAGCCUGACGGAGCAACGCCGCGUGAGUGAUGAAGGUCUUCGGAUCGUAAAACUCUGUUAUUAGGGAAGAACAUAUGUGUAAGUAACUGUGCACAUCUUGACGGUACCUAAUCAGAAAGCCACGGCUAACUACGUGCCAGCAGCCGCGGUAAUACGUAGGUGGCAAGCGUUAUCCGGAAUUAUUGGGCGUAAAGCGCGCGUAGGCGGUUUUUUAAGUCUGAUGUGAAAGCCCACGGCUCAACCGUGGAGGGUCAUUGGAAACUGGAAAACUUGAGUGCAGAAGAGGAAAGUGGAAUUCCAUGUGUAGCGGUGAAAUGCGCAGAGAUAUGGAGGAACACCAGUGGCGAAGGCGACUUUCUGGUCUGUAACUGACGCUGAUGUGCGAAAGCGUGGGGAUCAAACAGGAUUAGAUACCCUGGUAGUCCACGCCGUAAACGAUGAGUGCUAAGUGUUAGGGGGUUUCCGCCCCUUAGUGCUGCAGCUAACGCAUUAAGCACUCCGCCUGGGGAGUACGACCGCAAGGUUGAAACUCAAAGGAAUUGACGGGGACCCGCACAAGCGGUGGAGCAUGUGGUUUAAUUCGAAGCAACGCGAAGAACCUUACCAAAUCUUGACAUCCUUUGACAACUCUAGAGAUAGAGCCUUCCCCUUCGGGGGACAAAGUGACAGGUGGUGCAUGGUUGUCGUCAGCUCGUGUCGUGAGAUGUUGGGUUAAGUCCCGCAACGAGCGCAACCCUUAAGCUUAGUUGCCAUCAUUAAGUUGGGCACUCUAAGUUGACUGCCGGUGACAAACCGGAGGAAGGUGGGGAUGACGUCAAAUCAUCAUGCCCCUUAUGAUUUGGGCUACACACGUGCUACAAUGGACAAUACAAAGGGCAGCGAAACCGCGAGGUCAAGCAAAUCCCAUAAAGUUGUUC